Molecule: transfer RNA, 67 nt
Filed under: Kocuria coralli
Lineage: Bacteria; Bacillati; Actinomycetota; Actinomycetes; Micrococcales; Micrococcaceae
Also listed under: 1 other name
Rfam family: tRNA
About the family: Transfer RNA (tRNA) molecules are approximately 80 nucleotides in length. Their secondary structure includes four short double-helical elements and three loops (D, anti-codon, and T loops). Further hydrogen bonds mediate the characteristic L-shaped molecular structure. tRNAs have two regions of fundamental functional importance: the anti-codon, which is responsible for specific mRNA codon recognition, and the 3' end, to which the tRNAs corresponding amino acid is attached (by aminoacyl-tRNA synthetases). tRNAs cope with the degeneracy of the genetic code in two manners: having more than one tRNA (with a specific anti-codon) for a particular amino acid; and 'wobble' base-pairing, i.e. permitting non-standard base-pairing at the 3rd anti-codon position.
Source: RNAcentral
GUGGGGUGGCCGAGUGGUUAGGCAGCGGCCUGCAAAGCCGUCUACGCGGGUUCGAAUCCCGUCUCCA